AAUCUCCCUGCCGUCUUUCUUUCUCCCUUUCUCUGUUUUUUUUUGUUGCACUACCACCACCGGUCAGCAAGAAUCCAGCUACCCCAUCCUGAUGACCGACGACCGACAGACUAAAGGAAUAUAUCGGAGCUCGCUGGAUUUCAGAAAAUCAGUCCAUAGUUUUUUUUAUCCCCGUCAUCUCCUAGGUAUGAUCCCACCACCCCUUUUAUAUAUUUUCCUGUCUUAUCUAGACCUGAUUUUUCCGACAGAUUGUUCAGACCCUUAUUGUUGCUUGAUUGUUAACUAAUUUCCUUAAAUCUGAUAUUGUGUUUAUGAAUUUAUUAUUGUGCCCUUGUGAAUAUUACUACAUUUUCUUGGUUCCUACUUUAAACUGGUAUCUUUGCUAUAGUUUAUUGCUUCUUUUUAGUUUCUUCAUUGUAUUGUGUGACUGCCACUUUUGCAUUUAGGGAUUUGACGUUAUGGGUUGCCCCACUUGAUUAUUCUGUACUGGCGUUAGUGGCUUCAAAAGAUCUGAUGGUAGUUAAAAGUCAUGUCAAUGAUUUGGGGUGAGGGCAGGGGUGGUAAGGGUACCAAGGGAACUCCUAGGUUGAGAGUUCUGUCUUGGAACAUAGGAACAUUGGCGAGGAAGUCAAUAGAGUUGGUGAUUAUUCUUAAGAGAAGGAAGAUCUUUAUACCUUGGGUUUAGGACACCUAAUGGGUAGGAACUAAGACUAGGGAUAUAGUCGUGUACAAGAUAAGGUACUCAGGAAGUUUGAGGAGUAGGAAUGGAGUAGGUAUUUUAGUCUAUGUUGCUCAGAUUUUUCAAAAAUGUCAACGAGUGCGGCAACAAUUUCAGAGAGUCCAAGCAACAAAGAUUUUAGAGGAAGAACCUAAUGUAUCCUAUAAAUGAAGUCACCAACAUGAACUGCUAGCUGCUAUACAUGAUGGAGAAGUUGGCAGUCUGCCAACAAUUCACUUGGGACUACCUCUGGGGCUAAAUCUAAAUCUGAAUCUAUAGAAAUAUGGGAUAGAGUGAUAGAGAAGUGUGAAAAAAAGCUAGCCAGGUGGAAAACUCAAUACCUCUCCUUACGAAGAAGACUCACUCUCAUUAAUUUAGUCCUUGAUGCUUUCCCAACUUUUAUGAUGCCUUUAUUUCCCAUCCUACCAGGGUUAUCAAAAGGUUGGACAACACUAGGAGAGAGAUUUUGUGGCAGGGAAACAAAGAAAAGAAAGGGUACCAAUGACAAAGAAUCUGAAAUUUCAAAGCAAAGCUCUAAGAAUGGAGUGGUUAUGGAGAUAUGCCAAUGACAAACAAUUGUUGUGGAGCAGGGUCAUUGGUGCCAAAUAUGAAGAGGAAGACAGCAGGGUCUAAAAUGUGCAUCUAUGCCAGGGAUUGGGGACCAAAUCUACAAUUUAUCCAAGAUGUCCUCAGUUCCUGUUAGACUAAUGGCAGCUGUUUUGAAAAGCAAUUAAUAUUUGGCUCGAGAGGUAUAAUAAAUUGUUGCUCCAUACAUAGCAGCUACCUGCUUCCUUCUUCAAUUGUUUCCAACAUCUUCUUUUAAUCCACGCCAAUAUUUGUUGAAUUGCGCCUCUUAGCAGUUCCACACCCAUCCAGUUAGUCAAAUCCUUCCUCACUGUAUUCCCCCAAUGACAUUCAGUAAACAAAUGUUG
Molecule: long non-coding RNA, 1650 nt
Organism: Solanum tuberosum (potato)
Lineage: Eukaryota; Viridiplantae; Streptophyta; Magnoliopsida; Solanales; Solanaceae
Exons: 2
Source: RefSeq, a predicted model, not a curated record